GAUGAACGCUGGCGGCGUGCCUAAUACAUGCAAGUCGAGCGAACAUACGAGGAGCUUGCUCCUCUGACGUUAGCGGCGGACGGGUGAGUAACACGUGGAUAACCUACCUAUAAGACUUGGAUAACUUCGGGAAACCGUAGCUACUACCGGAUAAUAUAUUCAACCUCAUGGUUUAAUAGUGUAAUACUGUUUUGCUGUUACUUAUAGAUGGAUUCGCGCCGCAUUAGCUAUUUGGUAAGGUAACGGCUUACCAAGUCAACGAUGCGUAGCCGACCUGAGAGGGUGAGCGGCCACACUGGAACUGAGACACGGUCCAGACUCCUACGGGAGGCAGCAGUAGGGAAUAGUCAGCAAUGGGCGAAAGCGUGACGGAGCAACGCCGCGUGAGUGAUGAAGGUCUUCGGAUCGUAAAACGCUGUUAUUAGGGAAGAACAAAUGUGUAAGUAACUAUGCACGUGGUGACGGUACCUAAUCAGAAAGCCACGGCUAACUACGUGC
Molecule: ribosomal RNA, 498 nt
Filed under: uncultured bacterium
Lineage: Bacteria
Description: partial 16S ribosomal RNA
Rfam family: Bacterial small subunit ribosomal RNA
Source: RNAcentral